GUCCCGUUAGCUCAGCCUGGUUAGAGCGGCAGCCUCUUAAGCUGCGCGUCGGCGGUUCGAAUCCGUCACGGGACA
This 75-nucleotide transfer RNA is filed under the name Asanoa ferruginea. Its description in RNAcentral is "tRNA-Lys". It matches the Rfam family "tRNA". Rfam says of the family: Transfer RNA (tRNA) molecules are approximately 80 nucleotides in length. Their secondary structure includes four short double-helical elements and three loops (D, anti-codon, and T loops). Lineage: Bacteria; Bacillati; Actinomycetota; Actinomycetes; Micromonosporales; Micromonosporaceae. The record is from RNAcentral.